RNAcentral lists this long non-coding RNA (1226 nucleotides) under Anser brachyrhynchus (Pink-footed goose). RNAcentral describes it as "lncRNA (ENSABRG00000021739.1)". The record is from RNAcentral. Lineage: Eukaryota; Metazoa; Chordata; Aves; Anseriformes; Anatidae.
GAGGGACAGCGGGAAAGAGCUGCUAAGGAGCAGGGGACACAGCAGAAGUCAAGCACCUUGUUCCCUGGGAGCUACAAAAUGAAACGUGAUGUUGAAGUUUAGAGUGGAAUCUCCCCGUUCUUUUUGGCUAGUGAUCCGGGAGCUGCGAGCAGCUGCAGCAGGAGCAGCAGCAGAGAAGUGUGGUGGGAGCCUGCACAGGACCAGGAGCCAGCCCAGCUGCACAGGAAAACACCUACAGGUGCUACCAGAGACCUCUCCUGGUGCUGCAGUGUAAAUGCCUCACAGUUUCAAUUUAUGGAUGGCUGGCUGCUUGCUGCUGCUGUUGAAUGUAGAAAAUCUGCGGUCCUAUUUUACAGUUCCAGCACUGUCAGAAGCUCCUAAUGAAUCACCAGGAGGUCUGUGUACACAGCAGUACGAAUCCUGGGCAAUUCUGAACCGACGGCAGCCUUUCAUGGGUGAGCCUCCUGCUGCCUUCUGUGAGAGCUGGCCUGCAGACCUGAUCCUCCUGAAUUUCACUUCAGCCAUGGAAGUAAAAUGCAUUGUCAGAGAAGUUUCCCCUGAUCUGACUAAAUGCUGUUUACCCCAACUUCUUCUUUCAAGCCAUCUGUCAAACAAAAAUGCUCAGCGAUCUUUUAAUUCAGAACCUGCAUCUCAAGGUAAAGGAACCUUCAUGUGCUCCGGGGCAAAUCAUAAUGAAAAUUCCAGGUUUAACAACAUCAUCUUAAUGGUAAAAUACUUAUUUUAUCCUUCUCAAAUGCAUUUAAACUAUGGGCCCUCUAUUAUGAUUAUUUAUGGUUAUCAUUUUGGCUGCUCUGAGCAGCAGUGUCUGGGCUUAGUUGUCUUCUCUGCUCAGGAUGAAAAAUGAAGUUUGAAAGAAUGUUCAUUACCUUCACGGCAUGUGUUGACUGCACUGAUUCUUCAUCUGCCAAACUGCAUAUGCUGGCUUCUGUCUCAUCUGGAGACCUCUGGAACUAAGAGCAAUUGAUCAAAUUAAUUCUAAUAUAAUCCCACACAGACCCUGCUACCACUGCAGCUUGUUAACCUUAUAUGCAAACAGUUUAUUUAAACUAUCUGGAUGACAUCAUGAAAACUACCUUCAAUACAUCAAACAAAGAAUGAAAUGAAAGCCCAUUUCAACAUUUUUUCCAAGAUAUGAUUUUGGUUUUGCUACUUCUUUCUAAAAGAUAAAAUUUGGAAACUGCAACUGAAUUAAUUUCAAUUCAUUU